UACGUAGGGGGCAAGCGUUAUCCGGAUUUACUGGGUGUAAUGGGAGCGUAGGCGGACUUUUAAGUGAGAUGUGAAAUACUCGGGCUCAACUUGAGUGCUGCAUUUCAAACUGGAAGUCUAGAGUGCAGGAGAGGAGAAUGGAAUUCCUAGUGUAGCGGUGAAAUGCGUAGAGAUUAGGAAGAACACCAGUGGCGAAGGCGAUUCUCUGGACUGUAACUGACGCUGAGGCUCGAAAGCGUGGGGAGCAAACAGG
This 253-nucleotide ribosomal RNA is filed under the name uncultured bacterium. RNAcentral describes it as "partial 16S ribosomal RNA". It matches the Rfam family "Bacterial small subunit ribosomal RNA", at positions 524 to 776 of the family's 1533-position model. The record is from RNAcentral.